This 916-nucleotide long non-coding RNA is filed under the name Oreochromis niloticus (Nile tilapia). RNAcentral's name for it is "lncRNA (ENSONIG00000039306.1)". The record is from RNAcentral. Lineage: Eukaryota; Metazoa; Chordata; Actinopteri; Cichliformes; Cichlidae.
GCUGGCUAUAAAUAACUCAUUACGCUAAUUAUGGUAUGUGAGCACACAGCUAGCCUGCGAGCACAAACACAGUCAAGCGUGAGCACCGUGGGUUCAAACAUGGUGUCCGUAUGGCAAGUUAUAAACCUCCGUCGGCAGCCGCUGCUCCUCUCGCACUGAGAUGGAGGAGGAGUUGCAUGGAAACUUUUUUUGUCUUCCUUAUGAUCCCAUACGAGUGAAUCCUGGUCGAUUGUGUUUUCUAAAGAUAAACCACUCAGAUCCCCCUAUGCUUGACAAGGACAGUGAGUGUGAUUACCUGUGACGUUGGCCUAUGAGAACUCUGUAGCUCUGACAGGCAUCUCCUGCUGUGACUUUGACAUAUCUCAAUACAACUCUUAUUUUGAUGGAGCCUGUCUCUCAGACAGCUAGCAGUGACAAGACAAUUUUGAUGAGGGUAAAAUAGAACAGGCGCUUAAGAGACCCGGAGAGAGGUCUCGUUCCUCUGGGCAAAGCAUUAAUGAUCCUACUGUCUCUGUCUAUGUCAAUAGUUCUCCAGUGUCCAUCUGUUUCAGUCACAUACAGACUUCCCGCUAAUGACAGGAAGUGUUGAUACUGCACAGGAACGAACCAGUCACUGUGGUAUUAAGGGCGUCAUUUGAGAAAAGACUCCCAACUUCGGAUGCUAUUUUCCACUGAAAACUUGAGGAAAGACGCAGGACUAAAACACGCUGGGACCAACAACCAUGGCGAUAGGCGGAUAAGGCUGGAUCAAGCUUGGAGCGUCAAACAGGUUAUGCCCUGUUUUGUGAUUAACCCUGGCAGCCAUACACUACAGCUGGAAGCGCAACACAACAUCCAGCACCGUGAAGCUCCAAGGCUGUAGACAUGACAAGGACAGAGCAGGUCAGCUCAGUAGAGAGCACUCUGUGGUAAUGAG